RNAcentral lists this ribosomal RNA (468 nucleotides) under uncultured bacterium. RNAcentral describes it as "partial 16S ribosomal RNA". It matches the Rfam family "Bacterial small subunit ribosomal RNA", at positions 28 to 507 of the family's 1533-position model. The record is from RNAcentral.
GACGAACGCUGGCGGCGUGCUUAACACAUGCAAGUCGAACGGAAAGGCCCUACUUUUGUGGGGUGCUCGAGUGGCGAACGGGUGAGUAACACGCGAGUAACCUGCCCUUGACUUUGGGAUAACUUCAGGAAACUGGGGCUAAUACCGGAUAGGAGCUCCUGCUGAAUGGUGGUAGCUGGAAGGUUUCGGCGGUUGGGGAUGUACUCGCGGCUUAUCAGCUCGUUGGUGGGGUAGUGGCUGACCAAGGUUUUGACGGGUAGCCGGCCUGAGAGGGUGUACGGCUCUAUUGGGACGGAGCUCCGGCCCAGACUAUUACGGGGGGCAGCAGUGGGGAAUAUUGCACAAUGGCAGGAAGCCUGAUGAAGAAGCGCGGCGCGCGGGCUGUCGGCCUUCGGGUUGUAAACCGCUUUCGUGUGUGACGAAGCGAGAUUGACGGUAAUGGGUAAAGAAGCACCGGCUACCUACGUG